CCUACGGGUGGCAGCAGUGGGGAAUAUUGCACAAUGGGCGAAACCCUGAUGCAGCAAAGCCGCGUGAGUGAAGAAGUAUUUCGGUAUGUAAAGCUCUAUCAGCAUGGGAGAAGAAAGACGGUACCAGACUAAGAAGCACCGGCUAACUACGUGCCAGCAGCCGCGGUAAUACGUAGGGGGCAAGCGUUAACCGGAUUUACUGGGGUUAAAGGGAGCGUAGACGGGUGUGCAAGACUGAUGUGAAAGCCCGUGGCUCAACCGGGGAACUGCAGUGGAAACUGGAUAGCUUGAGUACUGUAGAGGUAGGCGGAAUUCGUGGUGUAGCGGUGAAAUGCUUAGAUAUCAGGAGGAACACCGGUGGCGAAGGCGGCCUGCUGGACUGAAACUGACGUUGAGGCUCGAAAGCGUGGGGAGCAAACAGGAUUAGAUACCCGUGUAGUC
RNAcentral lists this ribosomal RNA (441 nucleotides) under uncultured bacterium. RNAcentral describes it as "partial 16S ribosomal RNA". It matches the Rfam family "Bacterial small subunit ribosomal RNA", at positions 338 to 795 of the family's 1533-position model. The record is from RNAcentral.